RNAcentral lists this ribosomal RNA (346 nucleotides) under Rhodotorula mucilaginosa. RNAcentral's name for it is "partial large subunit ribosomal RNA". It matches the Rfam family "Eukaryotic large subunit ribosomal RNA", at positions 121 to 464 of the family's 3401-position model. The record is from RNAcentral. Lineage: Eukaryota; Fungi; Basidiomycota; Microbotryomycetes; Sporidiobolales; Sporidiobolaceae.
UCUGGCACCUUCGGUGUCCGAGUUGUAAUCUCUAGAAAUGUUUUCCGCGUUGGACCGCACACAAGUCUGUUGGAAUACAGCGGCAUAGUGGUGAGACCCCCGUAUAUGGUGCGGACGCCCAGCGCUUUGUGAUACAUUUUCGAAGAGUCGAGUUGUUUGGGAAUGCAGCUCAAAUUGGGUGGUAAAUUCCAUCUAAAGCUAAAUAUUGGCGAGAGACCGAUAGCGAACAAGUACCGUGAGGGAAAGAUGAAAAGCACUUUGGAAAGAGAGUUAACAGUACGUGAAAUUGUUGGAAGGGAAACGCUUGAAGUCAGACUUGCUUGCCGAGCAAUCGGUUUGCAGGCCA